UUAGAAACUUUAGCGCCAUGCACCAGUGGGGUACGGAUACAUACACUGGUUGACGAGGAUUCAGGUUAUCGAAGGUUCGGCGGAUGCCUGAACGUGACAGGCGGUCACGUAUGCAGCAGUCAAAAAGAAAAGGUGACUUUUUAACAAAGCUUCUGCAAACCGCCUGA
Molecule: non-coding RNA, 167 nt
Filed under: Roseburia sp.
Lineage: Bacteria; Bacillati; Bacillota; Clostridia; Lachnospirales; Lachnospiraceae
Description: GlcN6P sequence
Rfam family: glmS glucosamine-6-phosphate activated ribozyme aptamer
About the family: This entry contains a glucosamine-6-phosphate activated ribozyme that is found in the mRNA for GlmS.
Source: RNAcentral